GACAACGCUGGCGGCGUGCUUAACACAUGCAAGUCGAACGGUGAUCUUGAGAGCUUGCUCUUGGGUGAUCAGUGGCGAAACGGGUGAGUAACACGUGAGUAACCUGCCCCUGACUCUGGAAUAACUUCGGGAAACCGAAGCUAAUACCGGAUAUGACACAGAGCCGCAUGGUUUCUGUGUGGAAAGUUUUUCGGUUGGGGAUGGACUCGCGGCCUAUCAGCUUGUUGGUGAGGUAAUGGCUCACCAAGGCGACGACGGGUAGCCGGCCUGAGAGGGCGACCGGCCACACUGGGACUGAGACACGGCCCAGACUCCUACGGGAGGCAGCAGUGGGGAAUAUUGCACAAUGGGCGAAAGCCUGAUGCAGCGACGCCGCGUGAGGGAUGAAGGCCUUCGGGUUGUAAACCUCUUUCAGUAGGGAAGAAGCGCAAGUGACGGUACCUACAGAAGAAGCACCGGCUAACUACGUG
Molecule: ribosomal RNA, 470 nt
Filed under: uncultured bacterium
Lineage: Bacteria
Description: bacterial SSU rRNA
Rfam family: Bacterial small subunit ribosomal RNA
Source: RNAcentral